RNAcentral lists this transfer RNA (73 nucleotides) under Myotis brandtii (Brandt's bat). It matches the Rfam family "tRNA". Rfam says of the family: Transfer RNA (tRNA) molecules are approximately 80 nucleotides in length. Their secondary structure includes four short double-helical elements and three loops (D, anti-codon, and T loops). Further hydrogen bonds mediate the characteristic L-shaped molecular structure. tRNAs have two regions of fundamental functional importance: the anti-codon, which is responsible for specific mRNA codon recognition, and the 3' end, to which the tRNAs corresponding amino acid is attached (by aminoacyl-tRNA synthetases). tRNAs cope with the degeneracy of the genetic code in two manners: having more than one tRNA (with a specific anti-codon) for a particular amino acid; and 'wobble' base-pairing, i.e. permitting non-standard base-pairing at the 3rd anti-codon position. Lineage: Eukaryota; Metazoa; Chordata; Mammalia; Chiroptera; Vespertilionidae. The record is from Rfam by way of RNAcentral.
GCUCAUGUGGCUCAGUGGAUAGAGCAUCAGCCCGCAGACUGAAGGGUCCCAGGUUCGAUUCCGACCAAGGGCA